AUUGAACGCUGGCGGCAGGCCUAACACAUGCAAGUCGAACGGUAACAGGAAGAUGCUUGCUUCUUUGCUGACGAGUGGCGGCCGGGUGAGUAAUGUCUGGGUAACUGCCUGAUGGAGGGGGAUAACUACUGGAAACGGUAGCUAAUACCGCAUAACGUCGCAAGACCAAAGAGGGGGACCUUCGGGCCUCUUGCCAUCGGCUGUGCCCAGAUGGGUUUAGAUAGUAGGUGGGGUACCGGCUCACCUAGGCGACGGUCCCUAGCUGGUCUGAGAGGAUGACCAGCCACACUGGAACUGAGACACGGUCCAGACUCCUACGGGAGGCAGCAGUGGGGAAUAUUGCACAAUGGGCGCAAGCCUGAUGCAGCCAUGCCGCGUGUAUGAAGAAGGCCUUCGGGUUGUAAAGUACUUUCAGCGGGGAGGAAGGGAGUAAAGUUAAUACCUGUGCUGAUUGACGGUACCCGCAGAAGAAGCACCGGCUAACUCCGUG
This 490-nucleotide ribosomal RNA is filed under the name uncultured bacterium. RNAcentral describes it as "partial 16S ribosomal RNA". It matches the Rfam family "Bacterial small subunit ribosomal RNA", at positions 30 to 507 of the family's 1533-position model. The record is from RNAcentral.